Molecule: small RNA, 29 nt
Filed under: Bombyx mori (domestic silkworm)
Lineage: Eukaryota; Metazoa; Arthropoda; Insecta; Lepidoptera; Bombycidae
Description: ovarian small RNA-37829
Source: RNAcentral
UUGCCAGCAGUGAUUUGCAGGGGGGGGAU